GAUCGCACCGCAAGGUGAGUGGCGCACGGGUGAGUAACGCGUGGGAACCUGCCCUGGAGUGGGGGAUAACCCGGCGAAAGCCGGGCUAAUACCGCAUACGUCCUGAGGGAGAAAGAUUUAUCGCUCUAGGAGGGGCCCGCGUCGGAUUAGCUAGUUGGUGAGGUAACGGCUCACCAAGGCGACGAUCCGUAGCUGGUCUGAGAGGAUGAUCAGCCACACUGGGACUGAGACACGGCCCAGACUCCUACGGGAGGCAGCAGUGGGGAAUAUUGGACAAUGGGGGAAACCCUGAUCCAGCAAUGCCGCGUGAGUGAUGAAGGCCUUAGGGUUGUAAAGCUCUUUCGGCGGGGACGAUGAUGACGGUACCCGCAGAAGAAGCCCCGGCUAACUUCGUGCCAGCAGCCGCGGUAAUACGAAGGGGGCAAGCGUUGUUCGGAAUUACUGGGCGUAAAGGGCGCGCAGGCGGCCGACGUAGUCAGGCGUGAAAGCCCCGGGCUUAACCUGGGAAUUGCGUUUGAUACUGGUUGGCUGGAGUUCGGGAGAGGAUGGUGGAAUUCCCAGUGUAGAGGUGAAAUUCGUAGAUAUUGGGAAGAACACCGGUGGCGAAGGCGGCCAUCUGGACCGAAACUGACGCUGAGGCGCGAAAGCGUGGGGA
Molecule: ribosomal RNA, 655 nt
Filed under: uncultured forest soil bacterium
Lineage: Bacteria
Description: bacterial SSU rRNA
Rfam family: Bacterial small subunit ribosomal RNA
Source: RNAcentral